RNAcentral lists this ribosomal RNA (478 nucleotides) under uncultured bacterium. Its description in RNAcentral is "partial 16S ribosomal RNA". It matches the Rfam family "Bacterial small subunit ribosomal RNA", at positions 28 to 523 of the family's 1533-position model. The record is from RNAcentral.
GACGAACGCUGGCGGCGUGCUUAACACAUGCAAGUCGAACGGUAAGGCCCUUCGGGGUACACGAGUGGCGAACGGGUGAGUAACGCGUGGGUGAUCUGCCCUGCACUUCGGGAUAAGCCUGGGAAACUGGGUCUAAUACCGGAUAGGACUCCUGGCUUCAUGGUUGGGGGUGGAAAGCUUUUGCGGUGUGGGAUGGGCCCGCGGCCUAUCAGCUUGUUGGUGGGGUAAUGGCCUACCAAGGCGACGACGGGUAGCCGGCCUGAGAGGGUGACCGGCCACACUGGGACUGAGAUACGGCCCAGACUCCUACGGGAGGCAGCAGUGGGGAAUAUUGCACAAUGGGCGCAAGCCUGAUGCAGCGACGCCGCGUGAGGGAUGACGGCCUUCGGGUUGUAAACCUCUUUCAGCACCGACGAAGCGCAAGUGACGGUAGGUGCAGAAGAAGGACCGGCCAACUACGUGCCAGCAGCCGCCGUAA